AGUCGAGCGGUAACAUUUCUAGCUUGCUAGAAGAUGACGAGCGGCGGACGGGUGAGUAACGCGUAGGAAUCUACCUAUUGGUGGGGGAUAGCCCAGGGAAACUUGGAUUAAUACCGCAUAAGCUCUUAGGAGGAAAGCGGGGGAUCUUCGGACCUCGUGCCAAUAGAUGAGCCUGCGUAAGAUUAGCUAGAUGGUGGGGUAAUGGCCUACCAUGGCGACGAUCUUUAGCUGGUCUGAGAGGAUGAUCAGCCACACUGGACUGAGACACGGCCCAGACUCCUACGGGAGGCAGCAGUGGGGAAUAUUGCACAAUGGGCGCAAGCCUGAUGCAGCCAUGCCGCGUGUGUGAAGAAGGCCUUAGGGUUGUAAAGCACUUUCAGUGGGGAGGAAAGGUUAUAAGUUAAUACCUUGUAGCUGUGACGUUACCCACAGAAGAAGGACCGGCUAAUUCCGUGCCAGCAGCCGCGGUAAUACGGAAGGUCCGAGCGUUAAUCGGAAUUACUGGGCGUAAAGCGCACGUAGGCGGCUAGGUCAGUUGGGUGUGAAAGCCCCGGGCUCAACCUGGGAACUGCAUCCAAUACUGCCUGGCUAGAGUACGAGAGAGGGGGGUAGAAUUUCUAGUGUAGCGGUGAAAUGCGUAGAUAUUAGAAGGAAUACCAGUGGCGAAGGCGGCCCCCUGGCUCGAUACUGACGCUGAGGUGCGAAAGCGUGGGGAGCAAACAGGAUUAGAUACCCUGGUAGUCCACGCCGUAAACGAUGUCUACUAGCCGUUGGGGAACUUGAUUCCUUAGUGGCGCAGCUAACGCAAUAAGUAGACCGCCUGGGGGAGUACGGCCGCAAGGUUAAAACUCAAAUGAAUUGACGGGGGCCCGCACAAGCGGUGGA
RNAcentral lists this ribosomal RNA (885 nucleotides) under uncultured Gammaproteobacteria bacterium. Its description in RNAcentral is "bacterial SSU rRNA". It matches the Rfam family "Bacterial small subunit ribosomal RNA", at positions 60 to 936 of the family's 1533-position model. The record is from RNAcentral. Lineage: Bacteria; Pseudomonadati; Pseudomonadota; Gammaproteobacteria.